Molecule: unclassified non-coding RNA, 914 nt
Filed under: Hevea brasiliensis (rubber tree)
Lineage: Eukaryota; Viridiplantae; Streptophyta; Magnoliopsida; Malpighiales; Euphorbiaceae
Source: RNAcentral
GGCACAGGAAGACAAAGACAAAACCAUAUUUGCUGAUAUAUUUUCAGGCACAACCUCACCAACCUGAGAAACAUUUAUUUCAUUGUUCUUUUCAAUAUCAGAUCCUUUUGAUUCUGCUGGUACUACUAAGCUGCAAAAUAGACCCUUGUCAGAUAAGUCAUCAGCCUUGUCUUCCUCCAUUGCCAAAGAAGAUGAUGGAACAUUCAUUUUUGCCGAUGUAUAUUCAGGCACACUUGAACGAACCUCAGAUACACCCAUUUGAUAACAAUUUUCAGCUUCAGAUCCUUUUAAUUCCUCUAGUACUGGGCUGAGAACUAGACCCUUCUCACAUGUGCUUUUCAUCUUUUCCUCUUCACUAGCCAAGGAAGCCGAAGAUAAAAUGAAAUUUGCUGGUGUAAUCAGUUGCUCAACAAUAUCAUGGGAUACAUCCAUUUGAUGAAUAAUUUCGGUUUCAGAACUUUUUGAUUCUUCUGGUGUUAUUGCAUUGCCAGUGCCAGAUAAACCCUGCUCAAAGAAUACUUUGCUCUUUUCUUCCUCCAUUGUCAAUGGAGAAGAAGAUAAAACCAUAUUUUCUAGUACAUCUCCAGGAAAAAUCCCACCAACUCGAGAGACAUCCCCCUCAUUAACCAUUUUUGCUUCAGAUCCUCGUGUUUCCCCCUCUGCUAGUGAGCUCUUCUCACGUUUGUCAUCUACUUUCUCUUCCUCUACCACCAGGUAAGAUGAAGGAAGAGUACUUUCAGAAAUAUUUUGCAGUACAACCCUGUCAAACUGCAAAACCUCCAUUUGAUGAAUGUCCUCUGCAUCGGUAGAUUUGGCGGCAAUAUCAUUUGGCAAUGAUGCAAGUGCUUCAGACAAGUUUGCUUCUGCAUUGCAACCAGCUACACGUUCACCCUUACUACUUCCAACCUCUGGCU